GGUCUGGGCGGUGUGUACAAGGCGGCCUAUAAAGUCUGCUGUCAAAGCUCACAGCUCAACUGUGAAUCGGCAGUGGAAACUCAUAGGCUAGAGAGUGGUAGGGGUAGAGGGAAUUCCUAGUGUAGCGGUGAAAUGCGUAGAUAUUAGGAAGAACACCAGUGGCGAAGGCGCUCUACUGGGCCAUUACUGACGCUGAUGGACGAGAGCUAGGGGAGCGAAAGGGAUUAGAUACCUCUGUAGUCCUAGCUGUAAACGAUGGACACUAGGUGUUGGCCGUAUCGACCCGGUCAGUAUCGAAGCAAACGCGUUAAGUGUCCCGCCUGGGGAGUACGCACGCAAGUGUGAAACUCAAAGGAAUUGACGGGGGCCCGCUCAAGCGGUGGAGUAUGUGGUUUAAUUCGAUGCAACGCGGAGAACCUUACCAGGGAUUGACAUCCUACGAAUCUUCUUGAGAGGGAAGAGUGCCUUCGGGAGCGUAGAGACAGGUGGUGCAUGGCUGUCGUCAGCUCGUGUCGUGAGAUGUUGGGUUAAGUCCCGCAACGAGCGCAACCCUCGUCCUUAGUUGCCAUCAUUAAGUUGGGCACUUUAAGGAGACUGCCGGUGACAAACCGGAGGAAGGUGGGGAUGACGUCAAGUCAUCAUGCCCCUUACAUCCUGGGCUACACACGUACUACAAUGCAACGGACAAAGGGCAGCCAACUAGCGAUAGUGCGCUAAUCCCAUAAACCGUUGCUCAGUUCAGAUUGCAGGCUGCAACUCGCCUGCAUGAAGGCGGAAUCGCUAGUAAUCGCAGGUCAGCAUACUGCGGUGAAUACGUUCCCGGGCCUUGUACACUCCGC
This 839-nucleotide ribosomal RNA is filed under the name uncultured cyanobacterium. RNAcentral's name for it is "bacterial SSU rRNA". It matches the Rfam family "Bacterial small subunit ribosomal RNA", at positions 547 to 1393 of the family's 1533-position model. Lineage: Bacteria; Bacillati; Cyanobacteriota. The record is from RNAcentral.